RNAcentral lists this ribosomal RNA (230 nucleotides) under uncultured bacterium. RNAcentral's name for it is "partial 16S ribosomal RNA". It matches the Rfam family "Bacterial small subunit ribosomal RNA", at positions 562 to 791 of the family's 1533-position model. The record is from RNAcentral.
AAAGCGUGCGCAGGCGGUUAUGUAAGACAGUUGUGAAAUCCCCGGGCUCAACCUGGGAACCGCAUCUGUGACUGCAUAGCUAGAGUACGGUAGAGGGGGAUGGAAUUCCGCGUGUAGCAGUGAAAUGCGUAGAUAUGCGGAGGAACACCGAUGGCGAAGGCAAUCCCCUGGACCUGUACUGACGCUCAUGCACGAAAGCGUGGGGAGCAAACAGGAUUAGAUACCCGAGU